Molecule: ribosomal RNA, 452 nt
Filed under: uncultured bacterium
Lineage: Bacteria
Description: bacterial SSU rRNA
Rfam family: Bacterial small subunit ribosomal RNA
Source: RNAcentral
AACGAACGCUGGCGGCAGGCCUAACACAUGCAAGUCGAGCGAAGCCUUCGGGCUUAGCGGCGGACGGGUGAGUAACGCGUGGGAACGUGCCCUUUGGUACGGAAUAGCCCCGGGAAACUGGGAGUAAUACCGUAUGUGGUCGAGAGACGAAAGAUUUAUCGCCAAAGGAUCGGCCCGCGUUGGAUUAGGUAGUUGGUGGGGUAAUGGCCUACCAAGCCGACGAUCCAUAGCUGGUUUGAGAGGAUGAUCAGCCACACUGGGACUGAGUCACGGCCCAGACCCCUACGGGAGGCAGCAGUGGGGAAUCUUAGACAAUGGGGGAAACCCUGAUCUAGCCAUGCCGCGUGAUCGAUGAAGGCCUUAGGGUUGUAAAGAUCUUUCAGUGGGGAAGAUAAUGACUGUACCCACAGAAGAAGCCCCGGCUAACUCCGUGCCAGCCGCCGCAGUAAAAC